This 811-nucleotide non-coding RNA is filed under the name Pongo abelii (Sumatran orangutan). The record is from RNAcentral. Lineage: Eukaryota; Metazoa; Chordata; Mammalia; Primates; Hominidae.
GUCAGAAAGAGGAAAGUUUGCAGAGUUUUGUAUUGGCAAUCAAACAUUCAGCCACAGGUCACAGUCUAGAACCAGACACAUCAGUGUCCUGAACUGCAAAGUAGCCAGGAAGCAGCAUCCCAUAACACAGUCCUAUGUCCACUGCUUUGGAGUUACUCAAGACCUAAGUGUUUUCUUGGAACUGUGUUUGUUACUGAGGAAGCCACAAAUUAAAUAUAAGUCUGCUCUUCAAGAGGUUACAUUCCAGUUAAGGAGAUCACAUAUCCAUACUUCUAGGUAACUAAGUACCAAUGUGAUUGAAGCAAGGGAAAUUGCUAUGGGAUAUCUGGCCAACUGGAUAUUCUGCUGGAAGAGCAGAAUGCACUUCAAAGACUAGCCAAUAAAACUCUCAUGGGCUCUUGACACACUGACCUCUGUCAGUUCCUUCAGCACACCAGGCUAAUCCCCAGUCUUGUGCCUUUGGACCAGGGGUUUUCUUUGCUCAGAAUACUGUUUCAACAGAUCUUUGCAUAGCUGGCUCUUGCUAUUUGUCUAAAAUGGCAAUCCUCAGAGAGGUACUCCUUAAAUAUCCAAUCUUAAGUAGCAUCCCUUUCUCCCAGGAUCCUGUUUUUCAGAACUCUGUUUUCUUUUUAAAACACUUGUUAUCUGAAAGGAUGUUGUCUGCUUGCUUGUUUGUUCAUUUCUUUAUUGUCUAUUCCAUCUCUCCCCUUCUCAGGAUGUAAGCUGUUUAAAGGCAAGGACCUUAUCUGUGUUAUAUGCUGUAUUCCCAGGGCUCAGACAGAGCAUGACCUAUCAUAUGUACUAAAUAAAU